UGCGCGCCUCGCGUGCGGCGACGCGAUUGCCACGGACAUUCUCGAACCCUACCGGUUCGAGCCCGAUGCGCGCGC
Molecule: transfer RNA, 75 nt
Filed under: Burkholderia pseudomallei
Lineage: Bacteria; Pseudomonadati; Pseudomonadota; Betaproteobacteria; Burkholderiales; Burkholderiaceae
Description: tRNA-Arg(acg)
Source: RNAcentral